AAAUUGUGAUGAGGAAAUCUGAGAAGUAGCUCAUUAAAGUGCUCCCAUGCCUUGAAGAAAAGUUCUCCGUCUUUUUGUUGGAAAGUUAGAAUUUCCCUUCCCAAUUGC
Molecule: non-coding RNA, 108 nt
Organism: Corylus avellana
Lineage: Eukaryota; Viridiplantae; Streptophyta; Magnoliopsida; Fagales; Betulaceae
Source: RefSeq, a predicted model, not a curated record